Molecule: ribosomal RNA, 486 nt
Filed under: uncultured bacterium
Lineage: Bacteria
Description: bacterial SSU rRNA
Rfam family: Bacterial small subunit ribosomal RNA
Source: RNAcentral
AUGAACGCUAGCGGCUAGGCUUAAUACAUGCAAGUCGUGGGGCAGCAUGAGUAGCAAUACUUGAUGGCGACCGGCAAACGGGUGAGGAACACGUACACAACCUUCCUUCAAGCGGGGAAUAGCCCAGAGAAAUUUGGAUUAAUACCCCAUAAUAUAUUUGAUAAGGCAUCUUAUUAAUAUUAAAGCUUCGGCACUUGAUGAUGGGUGUGCGGCUGAUUAGAUAGUUGGCGGGGUAACGGCCCACCAAGUCUACGAUCAGUAGCUGAUGUGAGAGCAUGAUCAGCCACACGGGCACUGAGACACGGGCCCGACUCCUACGGGAGGCAGCAGUAAGGAAUAUUGGACAAUGGACGAAAGUCUGAUCCAGCCAUGCCCGCGUGAAGGAUUAAGGUCCUCUGGAUUGUAAACUUCUUUUAUAUGGGACGAAAAAAGGGCAUUCUUGUUCACUUGACGGUACCAUAUGAAUAAGCACCGGCUAACUCCGUG